GAUGAACGCUAGCUACAGGCUUAACACAUGCAAGUCGAGGGGCAGCGCAGUGUAGCAAUACAUGGGCGGCGACCGGCGCACGGGUGCGUAACGCGUAUCCAACCUUCCCGUUACUCAGGGAUAGCCUUCCGAAAGGGAGAUUAAUACCUGAUGGUGUUCAAAUUCCGCAUGUUAUUUGAACUAAAGAUUUAUCGGUAACGGAUGGGGAUGCGUGACAUUAGGUAGAUGGCGGGGUAACGGCCCACCAUGCCCACGAUGUCUAGGGGUUCUGAGAGGAAGGUCCCCCACACUGGAACUGAGACACGGUCCAGACUCCUACGGGAGGCAGCAGUGAGGAAUAUUGGUCAAUGGCCGGAAGGCUGAACCAGCCAAGUAGCGUGAAGGAUGAAGGUUCUAUGGAUUGUAAACUUCUUUUAUACGGGAAUAAAACCUCCCACGUGUGGGAGCUUGUAUGUACCGUAUGAAUAAGCAUCGGCUAACUCCGUGCCAGCAGCCG
Molecule: ribosomal RNA, 496 nt
Filed under: uncultured bacterium
Lineage: Bacteria
Description: bacterial SSU rRNA
Rfam family: Bacterial small subunit ribosomal RNA
Source: RNAcentral